UUGCUCUCGGGUGACGAGCGGCGGACGGGUGAGUAAUGUCUGGGAAACUGCCUGAUGGAGGGGGAUAACUACUGGAAACGGUAGCUAAUACCGCAUAACGUCGCAAGACCAAAGUGGGGGACCUUCGGGCCUCAUGCCAUCAGAUGUGCCCAGAUGGGAUUAGCUAGUAGGUGGGGUAACGGCUCACCUAGGCGACGAUCCCUAGCUGGUCUGAGAGGAUGACCAGCCACACUGGAACUGAGACACGGUCCAGACUCCUACGGGAGGCAGCAGUGGGGAAUAUUGCACAAUGGGCGCAAGCCUGAUGCAGCCAUGCCGCGUGUGUGAAGAAGGCCUUCGGGUUGUAAAGCACUUUCAGCGGGGAGGAAGGCGGUGAGGUUAAUAACCUCAUCGAUUGACGUUACCCGCAGAAGAAGCACCGGCUAACUCCGUGCCAGCAGCCGCGGUAAUACGGAGGGUGCAAGCGUUAAUCGGAAUUACUGGGCGUAAAGCGCACGCAGGCGGUCUGUCAAGUCGGAUGUGAAAUCCCCGGGCUCAACCUGGGAACUGCAUUCGAAACUGGCAGGCUAGAGUCUUGUAGAGGGGGGUAGAAUUCCAGGUGUAGCGGUGAAAUGCGUAGAGAUCUGGAGGAAUACCGGUGGCGAAGGCGGCCCCCUGGACAAAGACUGACGCUCAGGUGCGAAAGCGUGGGGAGCAAACAGGAUUAGAUACCCUGGUAGUCCACGCUGUAAACGAUGUCGAUUUGGAGGUUGUGCCCUUGAGGCGUGGCUUCCGGAGCUAACGCGUUAAAUCGACCGCCUGGGGAGUACGGCCGCAAGGUUAAAACUCAAAUGAAUUGACGGGGGCCCGCACAAGCGGUGGAGCAUGUGGUUUAAUUCGAUGCAACGCGAAGAACCUUACCUGGUCUUGACAUCCACAGAACUUUCCAGAGAUGGAUUGGUGCCUUCGGGAACUGUGAGACAGGUGCUGCAUGGCUGUCGUCAGCUCGUGUUGUGAAAUG
Molecule: ribosomal RNA, 1000 nt
Filed under: Klebsiella sp. MOSEL-SA4
Lineage: Bacteria; Pseudomonadati; Pseudomonadota; Gammaproteobacteria; Enterobacterales; Enterobacteriaceae
Description: bacterial SSU rRNA
Rfam family: Bacterial small subunit ribosomal RNA
Source: RNAcentral